This is a long non-coding RNA of Nasonia vitripennis (jewel wasp), 2493 nucleotides long. RefSeq lists it as uncharacterized. The transcript has 3 exons. NCBI's taxonomy places the organism in Eukaryota, Metazoa, Arthropoda, Insecta, Hymenoptera, Pteromalidae. The record is from RefSeq and is a predicted model, not a curated record.
CAAUGAACGAUCAACGAUCUCGAAUAGGUAUUCCCUCGUGUGAUGUUUACUUUUUAAAUAGGUGAUUACUUUUUUAUUAAAUAGUUGAGAACGUUUUCAUACGAAGAUAAAACAUAAAAUAGUGUGUGCAAAUGCGUUAAACGCAGUACUGCUUUUGAAGAUUUAGAAAAUAAAAAAUAAAAGGCAUAGAAGGUGGAGGUUUGAACCUCAUUUGUAGCAUGAGAUUAGACUUGAUUUUGGUGCUUAUCACACCAUUUUUCAUUAUUUUAAAAUAAAUAAUCAUGAAGAUUUUUAUAAAUUUGUGCGCGUGAAUGUUGAUCAAUGCAACAUUUUAUGUUAUUUAUCUCGGCUUGGCGUCUUCUCCGCUUUACUUAAAUCACGGAGUAGUUAGAGAAGUAUAGAAGUCCGACUACCCUUAUGAUCUCGAAGAGCGCGAGCGCACGGAACACGGUACCGAUUUACCGAUACCCAGGCCAUUGUCUAUAGCUACCGGACACCAUAUUACAAGUCUCUUCUCAGCAGCGGCAGAUUCCAUAUAUUAUCCCUCGCCCUUACAAGUUCCAAGCCAUACCAAGAUGCGAAGAUUGCGAAGGCCCAGCAUGUACUACUACUUCAAAUUAUUGAAUGGGGAUUACUUUGCAAGACAUACAAACUCAGAACCGUAUCGGGACAAAGGCGUCAAAAGCUAUGAUCAUACGCUGCAUCAAGCUCUCAGCGAGAUCUUCCGCGAGCGCUGCAGUCUCAACAGCGAUCAGGACAAAGGAACUUCUUGAAGAUCAAGAUUCCAUAAGCAAACUAAUACCGGAGAAAAACCCGACGAGAAGAACGACUCUCGCUCCUGUGGAUCGCAUUAUUGGGCUAUUAUCGAACUUCAGCCGAACUGCUCGUACGCUCAGGUGCCGACGUCAACGAGCGCUGCUUUCAUCGUGAACAUGAUUGGAAAUUGACGGAAUGGACCAUUCUUCAGCUGGCGGUGCUGAUGUACCCCUCCAUGUGGAACGUACGAUUCAUUGGUCUGGUAACGGAGCAUCGCGCUGACUUGCAAGUUCCGAACUCCGACAAUGAAACCGUCCUAUAGAUAUUGCGAUGCGGCAAAACCGAGUCCGGGUCGCCAAGAGCUGCUUCUUGAAAAAAAGGAGCCGUCGUUACUACCACCGGCGCUUCCAAAUUUCCACCUCUGCUCAAGGCAGUUUGCUAUAGCGCCAAAGCUGAAAAAAUUGUGCCGUUGUUAUAAUUAAAUACGGAGCCGUUGUUACAGUUAGAAAUUAUAAUGGACAUAACGCCUUGCACUACUUAUCAAAUGCACCUGUGAAACACGCCCAUCUAGUGGCCAGAGUCUUGCUCGAGAAGGACGCCUCGCCGCUCCACGACAGAACACAUAUAGUUUAAAACUGCAGCCGCUGCACGAGGCUGCCUUCAAUGGGAACAAUGAAUUGGUAGAGCUAUUUUUGGACUACGGCGCGAACGUGAAUGCACAAGAUGAGUAACGGUAGCACCGCAUUGCACGAAGCCUGCGACAAGCAUUGUUUUUUUUCCACGAAAGACAAUAGGAAGAACAUCGAAAUACUUUAGUCCGUAGGCAUGGAUAUAUUCGUCAAGACGGCUCUCGCUACACUCAUCCGAUAUGCUCGCUUUCACAAAAGAUCAGUUAAAGAAGAUUGAAGCAUUAGCCUGACGCUCCAAACCCUGGCGCUGAGAAAAGCUUGCCUGCCGCACCCGUCGAUCGAAUUGAAAGACGAAAAGAUUAUCGAGCGGUAUCCGCUGCUAUGGGCCUGUUAUCAUGACUGCAUCAGUCACAUAUGUAAGAUAAAAUCCAUGAGGGUUAAUCCAUACCUGCACAAUGUUCGAUCUCUUGACGAAAUUCGCCGCUUCUGCGCAACGGCGAAUUCGAAAAAACAUUCAGGAUGUUCGAUCUCGAAGUAUUCUCCACUGCGUAUGAAGAAGACAGUGAUCAACGAAGCUGUUCAUUAUAAUUUGCCUUGGAUGUUCGUGGAGAAAGUGGCUCGUUACACAGUUGACUGUAAAGAACGCGAAUUAAAAAAAAUUGUAAAGAGCCAUCGUGGUUCAGACGGCUGAGCGUCAUAGCCGACACCACUGAAAGUUUUAAACUUUAUUUACAUAUGCCCUAUAUCACCAUCAUCACGACGGUUCGGAAUUUAUUCGAAGACGAAGUAAGUUGACUGCAGUAUAGUGGCGGCCUCUGACCAAUCUACGCGUUUCUGCCAAAAAUAAAAAAUAAACCAAUCAAUACAAAAUAUUACACAGAAAUACAACAGAAAGAAAGAAAGAAAACAUUGUACGCGCGUCUCAAAAAGUAUGCUUACAAUACAUAAAUCUGUAGCAGUAUCCUUAAAGAAAAAAUAAACAGCAUUUCACAUUUUCUACUGCUAAAUAAAUUCAAUAAAUGUGGAUGCAAAAGGUUUUUAUGGAUGAAAAGUAAUAAUAAUCGAAUUUUAUUUGUAUCGAUAACAAAAAUAUAGUAAAGAAUUCGUA